UCACAUGCGCUUUGUGACAGGCGCGGCAGAGAGGAGUGAGGGGCAGCGACGGCUCCUGACCCGGCACCUAGGGCCGCCUGGGCCUCAGAGAGGGACAGACACAGCUUCUGCAUCAGGGUCCCGCGUCCAGCCUCACGCCCCCUCGCCACCUGCCCCAAACCGACGCCUCAAGGGCUGGGCCAUCUCCUUGGCUCGGGCCCUGGUGCCAGCUCAGCCCGGGGGGCGCAGCGAGGGCUGGGGACCGAGGGGGCCGGGUCAGAAGCUGCCUCUCGUCUCUAGAAGAGGCGGGACCGCGGCGUCCGGCAGAGGCAGGCCUCCUUCUCCUCGUAGAUGGCCGUCAGCGCCUCGAUGUCCUCGUGGAACAGGCGCCGGCUGUGCUCCAGGCCACGCAGGCCCUCCUCCGCCGCGGCCACCUCCUCCAGCACCUUGGAGAAGCGCUCGAAGCUGACGUACGUGUUGUUGGGGGGCAUGCUCGAGUGCGACUUGAUGGUGUACUCCUUGAGGCGCGCCGUCUUCAGGCGCCGCCGCUCCGGCUUCCGGCCGCCGUCCUCCCGCCGCACGUUCCGCCGCCGGAUCGCCUGCGGAGGGAGGGAGAGGCGGGGCCUGAGGCGGGCGGCGCCUAAACGCCUAAAUAAAGUCUUACCGGCACA
This is a long non-coding RNA of Panthera uncia (snow leopard), 650 nucleotides long. RefSeq lists it as uncharacterized. NCBI's taxonomy places the organism in Eukaryota, Metazoa, Chordata, Mammalia, Carnivora, Felidae. The record is from RefSeq and is a predicted model, not a curated record. The transcript has 2 exons.